UACGUAGGGUGCGAGCGUUGUCCGGAAUUAUUGGGCGUAAAGAGCUCGUAGGCGGUGUGUCGCGUCGGCCGUGAAAACCCGGGGCUCAACCCCGGGCCUGCAGUCGAUACGGGCAGGCUAGAGUCCGGCAGGGGAGACUGGAAUUCCUGGUGUAGCGGUGAAAUGCGCAGAUAUCAGGAGGAACACCGGUGGCGAAGGCGGGUCUCUGGGCCGGAACUGACGCUGAGGAGCGAAAGCGUGGGGAGCGAACAGG
This 253-nucleotide ribosomal RNA is filed under the name uncultured bacterium. RNAcentral describes it as "partial 16S ribosomal RNA". It matches the Rfam family "Bacterial small subunit ribosomal RNA", at positions 524 to 776 of the family's 1533-position model. The record is from RNAcentral.